AAGGGCACCACAAGAACGCGUGGAGCAUGUGGCUUAAUUUGACUCAACGCGGGAAAGCUUACCGGGUCCGGACACACUGAGGAUUGACAGGUUCUUGUAGCACAUUUAUGUGCUCUGCAAAUAUGCUAGUCCUUUCAUGAUUGUGUGAUAGGUGGCGCAUGGCCGUUCUUAGUUCGUGGAGUAAUCUGUCUGCUUAAUUGCGUCUUAUUACGGAUUUCACUCUCCAUUUGUCUCUGGCAACUUGUGUAGUCGGAACAUGGACCAUGUGAUUAUCCUUAGGCAACGAACGUGACCACAGUGUCUGGUUGUACCUAGUUGGGAGGUUGAGUAAAAUCUUCCAAGUACCCUAUUUCAAAGGUAUCUUCUAGUCAGACAGCUGUAAUUAAAUUGAAACAGUAGAAAGGAUGUGGCAAUAACAGGUCUGUGAUGCCCUUAGAUGUUCCGGGCCGCACACGUGCUACAAUGAUUUAUACAGUAAGCAUAUACGAAACAUCACAGUUCUCAUAUUUGUUCUGUGAUAAGCCUGCUUCGAAAGUUAGUAGGUAAUCAAUUCGAAAUAUAAAUUCCGCCUUGCAUAACGUUCACUCUCUUUUUUGUAGAGUUGUUCGUGGCAAAAUAUACGAUUUCAAGGUAGGGACAGACCAUUGUUAAUUGUUGGUCUCGUCUUAACUAGGAAUGCCUUGUACGGGUCUUGGUUCAACAAACCAC
This 708-nucleotide ribosomal RNA is filed under the name Monothalamids sp. RNAcentral describes it as "SSU rRNA". It matches the Rfam family "Eukaryotic small subunit ribosomal RNA", at positions 1160 to 1639 of the family's 1831-position model. The record is from RNAcentral. Lineage: Eukaryota; Foraminifera.